GUAGGUGACUAGCGUUGUCCGGAUUUACUGGGCGUAAAGAGCGCGCAGGCGGUCGUGCAAGUCGAGUGUGAAAGCCCCCGGCUCAACUGGGGAGGGUCACUCGAUACUGCUCGACUCGAAGGCGGGAGAGGGAAGUGGAAUUCCCGGUGUAGUGGUGAAAUGCGUAGAUAUCGGGAGGAACACCAGUGGCGAAGGCGACUUCCUGGCCCGUUCCUGACGCUGAGGCGCGAAAGCUAGGGGAGCAAACGGGAUUAGAUACCCCGGUAGUCCUAGCUGUAAACGAUGGACACUAGGUGUUGUGGUAUCAACCCCGCCAGUGCCGAAGCUAACGCAUUAAGUGUCCCGCCUGGGGAGUACGGCCGCAAGGCUA
RNAcentral lists this ribosomal RNA (370 nucleotides) under uncultured bacterium. Its description in RNAcentral is "bacterial SSU rRNA". It matches the Rfam family "Bacterial small subunit ribosomal RNA", at positions 527 to 896 of the family's 1533-position model. The record is from RNAcentral.